AUUGCUUCUCGCCUUUUUGGCUAAGGCCAAGUAUAGUACCUGUUCUUACCAGUUUAACAUCAAAUGUUUCCAGAAACCAUGGAGGUAUAUUUUAUAAUUGUAAAAGAUCAGACUAU
Oryctolagus cuniculus (rabbit) is the source of this 116-nucleotide small nuclear RNA. Its record names the gene U2. It matches the Rfam family "U2 spliceosomal RNA". Rfam says of the family: U2 is a small nuclear RNA (snRNA) component of the spliceosome (involved in pre-mRNA splicing). Complementary binding between U2 snRNA (in an area lying towards the 5' end but 3' to hairpin I) and the branchpoint sequence (BPS) of the intron results the bulging out of an unpaired adenosine, on the BPS, which initiates a nucleophilic attack at the intronic 5' splice site, thus starting the first of two transesterification reactions that mediate splicing. Lineage: Eukaryota; Metazoa; Chordata; Mammalia; Lagomorpha; Leporidae. The record is from Ensembl.